GGUAGAGUGAGAUUGGAUAGGUGAUGCUCAACGGCUCUAGAUUAGGUAAAUUAGUGUGUUUGAGGAGUGGUAGCUUGUGUUACAGUGUGGCAGAGGUAGGUCUGUGUGUGGAGCCUGGACAUGGUGUGCUAUAUAUAGAUAUGCUGUAAGGUGCUAAAGAACAUAUAAAAACAUUGCUUCAUCUUGCCUAUACGUCAAGGUAGCAUCCCUGCGUAAUCUAAGCAUAAGUAUUUUCUGCAUUAUCAAGGGUUAACUGGUCUGAUUCAAA
Molecule: non-coding RNA, 268 nt
Organism: Pelobates cultripes (western spadefoot toad)
Lineage: Eukaryota; Metazoa; Chordata; Amphibia; Anura; Pelobatidae
Source: the annotation of a GenBank genome assembly